UUGUUCUGUGAACAUUCAGCAAAGCACAGAUGAUGUGAUGUUGCAGUUCUGUGGGAAUAUGUUGAUUUAACUUAAUUGAGGCUUUCCCGGAAGUGGAACCAACCAGCCAACCAACCAAUCCCCCCAAAAGGACAAAGGAAAGGAUGACUUAAGAUAAGAUUCUGACUUCUCAGGUCUUGGCAGAAGGGUCUGUGCUAUCACAUCGGAGUACACCUUUAGGACCUACUUUCACAUGUUUAAUCAUUUCAUUUUGUGCAAACUGACUUUCUC
RNAcentral lists this long non-coding RNA (270 nucleotides) under Apteryx rowi (Okarito brown kiwi). Its description in RNAcentral is "lncRNA (ENSARWG00000011333.1)". The record is from RNAcentral. Lineage: Eukaryota; Metazoa; Chordata; Aves; Apterygiformes; Apterygidae.